GGAGGCGGCGGCUAUUGUUCCCCGCAGGGGCCCGGGGCGCCCUGAAACGGGGUCCACGUCAGCCCGCUCCCGAGCGUGUCCUCAGAUCUGGGGACCCUUCACCUGCCUCUACUACUGCAAAUGAUUGGAUAUUCGUCUGACUUGGCUCUUCCCUAAUGUGUGGAACUAAUUUUGUUCACUCUGUUUCAUGCUGGACCUGGCCUGAAAAUGGGCCCUUAUAUUGUCUUUGCACUUUCCAACUUGCCAAGUUUCUGAAAGAAGGACCAAAGUAAUGCCAAGAACUCCCAGAUGAAGAGGACCUUCCUUAGACCUAUAACAGAUUCACUACUUGACUUCAGAGGGAAGUUUCAGCUAAUUCUCAGGAAAAGGUCAAAACAGGCCUGUGACUGUCCCUUGAAUACUGAAGGCUCUUCAGGUUUCUUUUGAUAUCUGUGGAGGCGAAUCUGGAACAAAAUGGAAAACUCU
Molecule: long non-coding RNA, 465 nt
Organism: Homo sapiens (human)
Lineage: Eukaryota; Metazoa; Chordata; Mammalia; Primates; Hominidae
Gene: HAGLR
Product: HOXD antisense growth-associated long non-coding RNA
Source: Ensembl